RNAcentral lists this small nuclear RNA (107 nucleotides) under Jaculus jaculus (lesser Egyptian jerboa). The record is from RNAcentral. Lineage: Eukaryota; Metazoa; Chordata; Mammalia; Rodentia; Dipodidae.
GUGUUCGCUUCAGCAGCACAUGUACUAAAAUUGGAACGAUACAGAGAAGAUUAGCAUGGCCCCUGUGCAAGGAUGACAUGCAAAUUCGUGAAGCGUUCCAUGUAUAU